RNAcentral lists this long non-coding RNA (608 nucleotides) under Monodelphis domestica (gray short-tailed opossum). Its description in RNAcentral is "lncRNA (ENSMODG00000033975.2)". The record is from RNAcentral. Lineage: Eukaryota; Metazoa; Chordata; Mammalia; Didelphimorphia; Didelphidae.
CAUUGGUCUGUCCCUCUAUCUAAUUCAUCAAUCAGUCGAUCUUUCCCAUUCUUCUUCUCAGCUGUCCACCCUAGAAAAUCAGAACAAGUGGUUGCUGGAAAGCAAAGCAUAUGAUGGUGUCCCUGUGAUGUUCAGGUGGCUCAGAAGAUGUAUUUGGUUCAAGAUUGGAGGGGGAGUGGCAGACCUCUACUUUGGCCAGUGAGCUGUCCACCCUAGAAAAUCAGAACAAGUGGUUGCUGGCAAGCAAAGCAUAUGAUGGUGUCCCUGUGAUGUUCAGGUGGCUCAGAAGAUGUAUUUGGUUCAAGAUUGGAGGGGGAGUGGCAGACCUCUACUUUGGCCAGUGAGAUGGCCAAGGAGAUACACCCCUUCCUUUAUGCUGCAGAUGCCAAGAACCAGCCCCAUGGCCUGGGGCAAGCCUCCUGCCCAAAUCCCUUGUUUCUGUCCUCACUGCUGUCAAAUGAUAGCUAAACCCCAGCAUGGAGGCAUGCUGUGUUGCCUUCCUCCCAAGGAGCAGAUUUUGCAAGCAAGCUCUCCCACCUUGGCUGCCUCCUGACCACAGUCAACAUGACUUUCACAUCAAUAAAAUGUCCCCUUUUCUUUUGAAGCCA